Molecule: long non-coding RNA, 557 nt
Organism: Panicum hallii
Lineage: Eukaryota; Viridiplantae; Streptophyta; Magnoliopsida; Poales; Poaceae
Exons: 3
Source: RefSeq, a predicted model, not a curated record
CCACGCACACAUCCUCUCCUCUCCUCUCCGCCCCCCAAAGCAAAAGCAACCCAGGCCCGAGUCCCCCCAAAUUUCCCUUUUCUUCCCCGGCGACGUCCCCACGCCGGCAGCCCCCGCCCAGAUCGGCGUGCCCCGCGCCGCCACGCUGCCCCUCCCGUGCCCCGCGCCAGCUCCCCGCUCCCUCGUACCGUCGCCCGCGCCGGACCCUCGCCAUUCCGCGCCGCGAGCAUUAUGAAAAUGGAUGAUCAGCAUGUUGCAUGCCCCUCUAAAUGUGCUUCAUCAAUUUGUGAAAACAGUUUUUCCAUUCCAAACAAUCAUGAGAUCUGUCCUAGAGGUAAGCCGCUUAAGAGGCUGAAGCAAAGUACGGUGACAUGAAACAUUAUGCCACAAACAUCGUGGGAACCUAGGAGUUAUAACAAGCUUCGACCACAAGGCUUUUUGUAACUCCUGUGCAUGGAUCUCCAAAGUAAUUUGAUGACACUGGAAUGCUGCAGCUGCUCACCCCGAUACAGGCCUAACAAUAUCAGCAAAACAUAAGAAUCAGCUGACAUAUUGAG